GAGCCGUUAGCUCAGCAGGCAGAGCAUCUCCCUUUUAAGGAGAGGGUCGUUGGUUCGAAUCCAACACGGCUCACCA
This 76-nucleotide transfer RNA is filed under the name Armatimonadota bacterium. RNAcentral's name for it is "tRNA-Lys". It matches the Rfam family "tRNA". From Rfam's summary of the family: Transfer RNA (tRNA) molecules are approximately 80 nucleotides in length. Their secondary structure includes four short double-helical elements and three loops (D, anti-codon, and T loops). The record is from RNAcentral. Lineage: Bacteria; Bacillati; Armatimonadota.